GGCUGGUCCGAUGGUAGUGGGUUAUCAGAAUUUAUUAACAUUAGUGUCACUAAUGUGGGUCUACAACCUCCCCACUGCUAAAUUUGACCAGCUAAAU
Molecule: Y RNA, 97 nt
Filed under: Prolemur simus (greater bamboo lemur)
Lineage: Eukaryota; Metazoa; Chordata; Mammalia; Primates; Lemuridae
Description: Y RNA (ENSPSMG00000011894.1)
Rfam family: Y RNA
About the family: Y RNAs are components of the Ro ribonucleoprotein particle (Ro RNP), in association with Ro60 and La proteins. The Y RNAs and Ro60 and La proteins are well conserved, but the function of the Ro RNP is not known.
Source: Rfam by way of RNAcentral